RNAcentral lists this ribosomal RNA (574 nucleotides) under uncultured marine eukaryote. RNAcentral's name for it is "bacterial SSU rRNA". It matches the Rfam family "Eukaryotic small subunit ribosomal RNA", at positions 1210 to 1456 of the family's 1831-position model. The record is from RNAcentral.
AAAUCUUACCGGGUCCGGACACACUGAGGAUUGACAGGUGUUUCGUGAAGGCUCUUUCAUAUAUUUAGUUUGUAAGCUUGCUUACUUACUUCUUUAUGUGUUUGAGCUUAUCACAAUUUCAAAUAUGCUAGUCCUUUCAUGAUUGUGUGAUAGGUGGUGCAUGGCCGUUCUUAGUUCGUGGAGUGAUCUGUCUGCUUAAUUGCGUUUCACUUAUGGCAUGAGUGUGUUACUUCGAGAUUCAUUUGUGACCUCUCUUUUCUUUGACGAGAAUUGAGAUUGCGUCCGGUUUCUUGAAUGCGCGCCAUUGCCUCGAAGGCAACGAACGUGACCGCAACCUCUUGUUGCCUCUCUUGUGUUGUAAAGGCCUUUUAGAUUGAAAUUUAUUUCUUUAUAAGAGUGUUCUUUUACUUCACACAUGUAUAAGGCUUCUGUUAUUUGGUUUAUCUUGCUCUCAUACUUCCGUAUGUGAGUAAGAUAAAUUUAAAGGCAGUUUUGUUCUUAUAUUUUAUUGUAGUAGAGGGAAACUAGAGGGACCGCUGACAUUUCUUAAACCAGAGGAAGGUUGCGGCAAUAA